Molecule: ribosomal RNA, 465 nt
Filed under: uncultured bacterium
Lineage: Bacteria
Description: bacterial SSU rRNA
Rfam family: Bacterial small subunit ribosomal RNA
Source: RNAcentral
CAUCCUACGGGAGGCAGCAGUGGGGAAUAUUGCACAAUGGGCGCAAGCCUGAUGCAGCCAUGCCGCGUGUAUGAAGAAGGCCUUCGGGUUGUAAAGUACUUUCAGCAGUGAGGAAGGUGGGUAUGUUAAUAGCAUACUCAUUUGACGUUAGCUGCAGAAGAAGCACCGGCUAACUCCGUGCCAGCAGCCGCGGUAAUACGGAGGGUGCGAGCGUUAAUCGGAAUUACUGGGCGUAAAGCGCAUGCAGGUGGUUUGUUAAGUCAGAUGUGAAAGCCCGGGGCUCAACCUCGGAAUUGCAUUUGAAACUGGCAAACUAGAGUACUGUAGAGGGGGUAGAAUUUCAGGUGUAGCGGUGAAAUGCGUAGAGAUCUGAAGGAAUACCGGUGGCGAAGGCGGCCCCCUGGACAGAUACUGACACUCAGAUGCGAAAGCGUGGGGAGCAAACAGGAUUGGAUACCCUGGUAG